RNAcentral lists this ribosomal RNA (496 nucleotides) under uncultured bacterium. RNAcentral describes it as "partial 16S ribosomal RNA". It matches the Rfam family "Bacterial small subunit ribosomal RNA", at positions 28 to 506 of the family's 1533-position model. The record is from RNAcentral.
GAUGAACGCUGGCGGCGUGCCUAAUACAUGCAAGUCGAGCGAACAGAUGAGGAGCUUGCUCCUCUGACGUUAGCGGCGGACGGGUGAGUAACACGUGGAUAACCUACCUAUAAGACUGGGAUAACUUCGGGAAACCGGAGCUAAUACCGGAUAAUAUAUUGAACCGCAUGGUUCAAUAGUGAAAGACGGUUUUGCUGUCACUUAUAGAUGGAUCCGCGCCGCAUUAGCUAGUUGGUAAGGUAACGGCUUACCAAGGCAACGAUGCGUAGCCGACCUGAGAGGGGGAUCGGCCACACUGGAACUGAGACACGGUCCAGACUCCUACGGGAGGCAGCAGUAGGGAAUCUUCCGCAAUGGGCGAAAGCCUGACGGAGCAACGCCGCGUGAGUGAUGAAGGUCUUCGGAUCGUAAAACUCUGUUAUUAGGGAAGAACAAAUGUGUAAGUAACUAUGCACGUCUUGACGGUACCUAAUCAGAAAGCCACGGCUAACUACGU